This 1958-nucleotide long non-coding RNA is filed under the name Vitis vinifera (wine grape). Its description in RNAcentral is "long non-coding RNA (VVIN_LNC000945)". Lineage: Eukaryota; Viridiplantae; Streptophyta; Magnoliopsida; Vitales; Vitaceae. The record is from RNAcentral.
AGAAAUCACACAUGUAUAAUCCUCAGAAAGCUCAAUUUCACUUGCUGAGAGAGAUCCGAUCAAUCCUUGGCCAGAGCCAACCGAUGCUGGAAUCGAAUUCAGUUUCAUAGGCAAAAAAUUGUCCGGAUUUGGGUUUCCUCCAAGUAUUUGAGGAGGUGAACUAACUUGGGUAGUCAUAUUUCCUGGGCAUAAAUUCCCAGAACUCAAAUUGGACUGGCGCUUGGUUAAAUUAGUUAGGGACGAGAAUGACCUGCUGGAAUCCAACGAACAAGAUCGAAUCCUUCCAAAUGCCUCGGGUUCUAAUGGGGUUUCUUCAAUUUCAAACACAACAUCAGAAUCCCGCUUCUGGGGUCGAGAUUUGAUCUGGGUAUGAGGAAAACUUGCAUAGUUUUUAGGCAGAGACUUUGAACCAUCAAAAAAAUUGAUAUGGCUUGGAGAAUUAGGGGUUUUAAUCCUCAUCUGAGGUCCAAAAAGAAUAGUCUUACUCUCCGAUGAUCCGAGAACUUUACCGGAUAGUUUCCCACCAUCAUCAAGAGAAUCUAUGAUGCUUAAACCUACUUUACUGCAAUCCCAGCUCUUGUGCUGCCCAUCUUGGGAUGAUCUUGGGGACCUAAAUGGGCUGCCUAGAUUUGAAAAUACUCUAAAAUCUAGAGGAGAGGUAGGGCUUCUAACUGAAUCAGAAUCUGAUAAACCCUUAUAAUUCAAUCCUACAAACAGGCCAGGGACACUGAAAAAGGAGUUGCCUUUGUGUUUCUGCCCCAUAACAUCAGACUGAAAAUAGAGCUCAGAAACAGCAUCAGCCAUUGUUGGAUGACCCAUGUGUUGAUCUUUCUGAAAUGAUCUGCUCCUCUUCCUCAGCAUUAUCUCAAAACCUCCCUUAUCUGUAUUAAAAUUAACAGAUUCAUUGAUUUAUAAAAGGAAAAAAAAAAUCAAAUGGAAAAUAAUUUUGAUCCAAAUGAAAUGGUAAAGAAAACACCAUCAAUCCAUGAGCUUAAGAAAUAAAACCCACUGCUAAACAGUAGUUUUAGAAAAAGAUGAAUGAGCUUGCAUGUAUAGAAGAUCAAAAGAAAUACAUCAUCCGUGAUUGAAAGGGGUCUAAUAAGGGCAGAGACAUUCAGUACUAAGCAUCCUUCAAAUGCAGAUAAAGAUCAAUAAGGACCAUUUGUCACCGCUUGUUUGGCCGCUGAGAAAACGUAGGAAAAAGGAAGGAAAGCAAAAUUUUGAAUCUGGAAACUCCAAACACAAGCACUUGCCUUUAUUCGUUUGUGUCACUGUUACCCUUUUUCAAAAAUCAAAGCAACAGAAAAAAUAACACUCCGAUAGCCCUCCCUUUUUUUCCAGUUUUCCCAGCAACCAAACAGGUGCCAAGUACAUUCCAAACCCCAUGUAAGAAAACCCUCGAUCACAUCACCACACACCAUCCCAAGAUAAAUGAGAAAGAAAAAAAAAUCAUCAGAAGAAAAAAUUAACAUGAACACUCAAAAGAUAACGAAACCCACCUCCAAAUAUUCAUUGAUGGACAAGAAAGCACUAAAAAUGAGAUAUCCAGAUGAUGAAACUCCAUGAAUGAACAGAAAAUGCUCCCAAAACAAAGAAAACAACUCCUACCAAGAUGAUCAACACACAUCAAAGAAAAAGGAUCAAACUUAAUCUUUCUUGCUCAUCACCAUCGACCCAAAAGCCAAAAACCAGAAAAAUCUAUACCCAACAAAAAAAAAUGUAUGAAUCCAUCAUGAGGUUCAGUGGAAUCACUGAGAUAAGGGAAUGAGGAGCAGAGAAUCAUGAAGAAGAUGGAAACCCACCUGGGUUUCUCCUCUGAAAACUUCACAGUGAUGCUGAGGAGACCCCCAAAUGCAGUAAAAAAAAUAUAGGUUUCACAAGGUGUAUGUGUGUGUGUGAAACUUGUGUAGUACUCCUCACUCUCUCUCUCUCUCUCUCUCUCUCUCUAUCUAUCUAUC